This 427-nucleotide ribosomal RNA is filed under the name uncultured bacterium. RNAcentral describes it as "bacterial SSU rRNA". It matches the Rfam family "Bacterial small subunit ribosomal RNA", at positions 355 to 774 of the family's 1533-position model. The record is from RNAcentral.
UGGGGAAUUUUGGACAAUGGGCGCAAGCCUGAUCCAGCAAUGCCGCGUGCAGGAUGAAGGCCUUCGGGUUGUAAACUGCUUUUGUACGGAACGAAAAGGCUCUGGUUAAUACCUGGGGCUCAUGACGGUACCGUAAGAAUAAGCACCGGCUAACUACGUGCCAGCAGCCGCGGUAAUACGUAGGGUGCAAGCGUUAAUCGGAAUUACUGGGCGUAAAGCGUGCGCAGGCGGUUAUAUAAGACAGAUGUGAAAUCCCCGGGCUCAACCUGGGACCUGCAUUUGUGACUGUAUAGCUAGAGUACGGUAGAGGGGGAUGGAAUACCGCGUGUAGCAGUGAAAUGCGUAGAUAUGCGGAGGAACAACGAUGGCGAAGGCAAUCCCCUGGACCUGUACUGACGAUCAUGCACGAAAGCGUGGGGAGCAAACA